CUUCCCUUUGCAAUAAGCUGCCCCACCCAGGCCUUUCCAUGAUCCAGACUCCUGGGACCAGGGUGCAAAUCCCCAGCUCCCCACUUGUCAACCAUGUGACCUGGACAACUUUCUCAAACCCAAGCUUUGUCCACCCAAGGUCAGCAGAGAUGGGGGAUAACAGGAUGUCCCGCACAGAGUGUCUGUGCAGAUUAAGUGAGGUAGAACAGACAGAACAGUGGUGGGGCCUGGCCCAUUGGUUGGCAGAAGGGAGCUCACCAUGUGCAGCAAGUUCCACGGGUCACCCAGCAAUCUGCCCAGAGGCUUAGCCACUCCAUCGCUAUCAUGCAUCUGAAGUCCACUUAACCACAAGGGAGAGAAACAAACACAUAUUCUGAGUGUAGCUGCCACAGGGAAAAUUGCAUCUGAGCGGGGAGUAAUACCAGAGGGUGAUCAGGAUGGCAGAAGAUGCCCCCUGGGUUUGAGCAGACUGGAGCUGCCCUCCAGAGCCUGGGGUUAGUGAGGAUGGGCUUGUAGAAAUGCCCCUCUCCUUUACCCAUCAAUGCUGGGUCCUGCGGGUACUGAGUCCCACAAUCGGUGUGCUGCUAGUGCCCUCAGCACAGAGAAAAACCCAGGGGUUCCCACAAGGCUUCGGCCACGUCCUCUGCUUCCUGAACUCCCACUCUGGUGACCCCACCUGGGAUGCAGAGAUGAGGUGAGGCAGGGACCUGUGCUGUCAACAUCACUGCUCUACCCUGGGAAUCUGGCACACAGUAGGUGCUUGGCAGAGCCAUGUGAAGAUGACACCAGUGGCAGAGCCCAGAGGUGGGGAAGGAUGACUUCUGUUGAUGUCACUGAACACCAGGUACAGACCUGCCUGAAGCUAUCUCCCUGUGGACGUCUCAGUUAGGUAAGUCAUUCUCUCCUGCCCUGUUUGCUUCUUUAAGCCACUUUGGUUUUCUGUCACUGGUUU
This is a non-coding RNA of Vicugna pacos (alpaca), 952 nucleotides long. Lineage: Eukaryota; Metazoa; Chordata; Mammalia; Artiodactyla; Camelidae. The record is from RefSeq and is a predicted model, not a curated record.